UACAGAGGGUGCAAGCGUUGUCCGGAAUUAUUGGGCGUAAAGAGCUCGUAGGCGGUUUGUCGCGUCUGCUGUGAAAACUCGGGGCUCAACUCCGAGCUUGCAGUGGGUACGGGCAGACUAGAGUGCGGUAGGGGAGACUGGAAUUCCUGGUGUAGCGGUGGAAUGCGCAGAUAUCAGGAAGAACACCAAUGGCGAAAGCAGCUUUCUGGGACGGUACUGACGCUGAGACGCGAAAGCGUGGGGAGCGAACAGG
This 253-nucleotide ribosomal RNA is filed under the name uncultured bacterium. Its description in RNAcentral is "partial 16S ribosomal RNA". It matches the Rfam family "Bacterial small subunit ribosomal RNA", at positions 524 to 776 of the family's 1533-position model. The record is from RNAcentral.